GCUUGCGGCAGCAGCGUGACUUACGGCCGCUCCCUCGGAGAAAGCCGUUGCAGGCGGCAUGCAGAAUCCGGUACCGGCUCGCAAGCACCGCGAGCUGGCAGCUCUCCAGAAUGACACAGUCAGUGGUCGUACAGGUCGGCCAGUGCGGAAACCAGAUCGGCUGCUGCUUCUGGGACCUGGCGCUAAGGGAGCACGCUGCGGUCAACCAGAAAGGAAUUUAUGAUGAGGCAAUAAGCAGCUUCUUUAGAAAUGUGGAUACCAGAGUGGUUGGUGACGGUGGAAGUAUUUCCAAGGGAAAAAUAUGUUCUUUAAAAGCACGAGCUGUCUUGAUUGAUAUGGAGGAAGGGGUAGUGAAUGAAAUUCUGCAGGGACCACUGAGAGAUGUAUUUGAUAUGAAUCAGCUCAUCACUGAUAUUUCUGGCUCAGGAAAUAAUUGGGCUGUGGGUCACAAAGUUUUUGGCAGUCUUUACCAAGACCAGCUUUUAGAGAAACUCAGAAAAUCGGCAGAGCACUGUGAUUGCUUGCAGUGUUUCUUUAUAAUACAUUCCAUGGGAGGAGGAACAGGAUCUGGACUUGGCACCUUUCUUUUAAAGAUGCUUGAAGAUGAAUUCCCAGAAGUAUAUAGAUUUGUAACUUCCAUUUAUCCUUCUUGUGAGGAUGAUGUCAUAACCUCACCUUAUAAUAGCAUCUUGGCAAUGAAGGAACUUAAUGAGCAUGCAGACUGUGUGUUGCCCAUUGACAAUCAAUCUUUAUUUGACAUCAUUAGCAAAAUCGACCUCAUGGUGAAUUCUGGAAAGUUGGGUACAACUGUGAAGCCAAAGAGUCUGGUUACUUCAAGUUCUGGGGCUUUAAAAAAAUGUCAUAAGAAGCCUUUUGAUGCAAUGAACAACAUUGUGGCCAAUUUGCUGCUCAACCUAACAAGCUCUGCGAGAUUUGAAGGGUCCCUUAAUAUGGACCUUAAUGAAAUCAGCAUGAAUUUAGUUCCUUUUCCCCAGCUUCAUUAUCUCGUGUCAAGCCUAACACCUUUAUAUACACUGGCAGAUGUUAACAUUCCUCCUAGAAGAUUGGAUCAGAUGUUUUCAGAUGCCUUUAGUAAAGAUCACCAGCUGCUUCAGGCAGACCCCAAACACAGUCUUUACCUCGCCUGUGCGCUCAUGGUGAGAGGAAAUGUACAAAUUUCAGAUCUUCGCAGAAAUAUUGAAAGAUUAAAACCAUCUCUACAAUUUGUCUCCUGGAAUCAAGAAGGCUGGAAGACCAGCCUGUGUUCCAUACCUCCUGUGGGCCAUUCUCAUUCAUUAUUAGCUUUAGCAAAUAACACAUGUGUGAAGCCCACCUUCAUGGAACUGAAGGAGAGAUUCAUGAGGCUCUACAAGAAAAAGGCUCACCUUCAUCACUAUCUACAAGUUGAAGGGAUGGAAGAAAGCUGUUUCACAGAAGCUGUGUCAUCUUUAUCAGCACUCAUACAGGAAUAUAACCAACUGGAUGCCACAAAAAACGUGCCUGUGCAGGAUUUACCCAGACUAAGCAUAGCUGUGUAAAUAAGAAAACCCCAAAAAUACUUUCUUAAUCUCACAUUGUUUUUUCUGACCUGUUUCAGCAUUUUUGUGAUUCGGAAAGUCCAGGGUUUUUUGUUUUUUUUUUUUUUUUUUUUUUUUUUUUUUUUUUUCAUAUUUUCAGGAAAUAUUUUUGUCUUAAAGAGUGAGUUCUGUUUAAUCACAGUUUGUUGGUAAUACCUAUAUGUGCAAUUAGUGAAAUCCUAGUAUCUUAACUUCAAACAUUUCUCUUCAGCAAAGUCCCUUUUUCUAAAAUUGAAAGAACAGAGUUCUUGAAUAUUUUGCUAUAUUUAUAGCCUUAUAUUUAGGCAUUGCACUGAUAAUUAUGUCUUCAAUAAAAAUCUUGUACAGAUAUAUUUUUGUAAGUAUUUAUGAUUUAUAUCUUGAUAUUCUAUUUAAGUUCUCCUGAUUCCAUAUAAAUAGUUACCAGGAGUAGAAGAAUACAAUAUAAAUAUUUCCGUGUAAUAUCCACUAACUUUUCAGGCAUAGGUUUUUAUUACAACUGUUAAGGAGGUUUUGUUCCUUCUUUAGAUGACAACUUGUUUGCUCAAAAGGAUCCUAAUUUGUACACUUAAAAUUUAUUUGCAUUAAACUUUUUUUUUUUUUUUUUUUUUGAGAUGGAGUCUCACUCUGUUGCCCAGGCUCAAGUUCAGUAGUCCAAUCUCAGCUCACUGCAACCUCCACCUCCUGGGUUCAAGUGAUUCUCCUGCCUCAGCCUCCUGAGUAGCUGAGAUUAUAGGCAUGCCGCACAAUGCCCAGCUAAUUUUUGUUUUUUUUUUUUUUUAAGUAGAAAUGGGGUUUUACCAUGUUGGUCAGGUUCAUCUUGAACUCCUGACCCCAUGAUCUUCCCACCUUGGCCUCCUAAAGUGCUGGGAUUACAGGUGUGAGUGACCACACCUGGCCUAAACUUUUAAAAGAAUUGCUUUCUUAUCAAACGUGUUGAUUUUAUAAUAAAUGACCGUAUUUUUUUUUUUUUUAAUUUUUUAUUGGAUUUUAGGUUUUGGGGUACAUGAGCAGAGCAUGCAAGACAGCUGCGUAGUUGCUGUUUUCAUUGGUUACCCUAUUAGAUAUUCCCAUCCCACAUGUUCUGGAGCAGGCAGUCCACUUUGUUGCUUGCACAAGACAUUUUUUUUUCCAAGUGUUCCAGUAGCCUGCUGAAAGGGCACUGGGAUCUGUGUGAUUUCCCAUGUGGCGACCCACUGCACCAGCUGAAACAACGGCGCUGCCCUGGAAUCUCCUGGCCUGGCUCCCUGUUUCAGACCCGUUCAAUCAGAUGAAUGGGUGAAUCUGCCUUCUCGGAGCUCCAGUUGCCAGCUUAAAGAGCAACCAGACCAGUGAGAGCCACUGGGCAAAACAGCCACGCCAGCCGAAACAGCCGCGGUGGCGACCCGUGGGGCUCCUCUGCCUGGGAAUCUCCUGGUCUGUGGGCAAUAAAGAUCCAUCUGGAAAUGCAGCAUCCACUCCCCCUCUGUACUUUCACUGGGAGCUGCAAUCCUGAGCUGCUCCUAAAGGGCCAUGUUGGAUCGGUCUCGAGACCAACUUGAACUUGAUCCAAAGGGCUUUACUUGUGGAAAACUGCUCUAAGGUAAUCUUUCCAGGGAAGUUUAUGCAUGGGUUCUAAGAGCCUUAUAUUGAAUCAGUAAGAUCCAAUGCAGAAAACCAAGUGUUCUGUACAUUUUGAAAAAAUAAAAAAAGGAUAUGGCUUAUAAUUUGAGAGGUUUUAGAGCAUUAGUAGUGCCAUGCUGUCAACUGAAAAUGUAUAGCAAAUGCAAAUUCACCACAACCUGGUAAUUUUUUUUUCUAAUUAACUGACAAAACUGGAGUUGCUGAGGAUGUUCCCUUCAUAGAGUUAGUUUUUAAAUACCUAAAAUUUACUUCUCUGCUUAUAGUUGCCUUUAUUAAAUAUCCACAUAAUAAAAGUGAACUUAUGACUUGUUAA
Callithrix jacchus (white-tufted-ear marmoset) is the source of this 3492-nucleotide non-coding RNA. Lineage: Eukaryota; Metazoa; Chordata; Mammalia; Primates; Cebidae. The record is from RefSeq and is a predicted model, not a curated record.